Molecule: ribosomal RNA, 841 nt
Filed under: Apiospora rasikravindrae
Lineage: Eukaryota; Fungi; Ascomycota; Sordariomycetes; Amphisphaeriales; Apiosporaceae
Description: eukaryotic LSU rRNA
Rfam family: Eukaryotic large subunit ribosomal RNA
Source: RNAcentral
AUUCCCCUAGUAACGGCGAGUGAAGCGGGAACAGCUCAAAUUUGAAAUCUGGCCCUUGGGUCCGAGUUGUAAUUUGCAGAGGAUGCUUUUGGUGCGGUGCCUUCCGAGUUCCCUGGAACGGGACGCCUUAGAGGGUGAGAGCCCCGUACGGUUGGCCACCAAGCCUGUGUAAAGCUCCUUCGACGAGUCGAGUAGUUUGGGAAUGCUGCUCAAAAUGGGAGGUAUAUUUCUUCUAAAGCUAAAUACUGGCCAGAGACCGAUAGCGCACAAGUAGAGUGAUCGAAAGAUGAAAAGCACUUUGAAAAGAGGGUUAAAUAGCACGUGAAAUUGUUGAAAGGGAAGGAUUUAUGACCAGACUUUUUCUAGGGGGAUCAUCCGGUGUUCUCACCGGUGCACUUCCCCUAGUUGAGGCCAGCAUCGGUUUCUGUCGGGGGAUAAAAGCUUCAGGAAUGUGGCUCCCUCCGGGGAGUGUUAUAGCCUGUUGCAUAAUACCCUGACGGGGACCGAGGUUCGCGCAUUGCAAGGAUGCUGGCGUAAUGGUUAUUAAUCACCCGUCUUGAAACACGGACCAAGGAGUCGAACAUUUGUGCGAGUGUUUGGGUGUUAAACCCUCACGCGUAAUGAAAGUGAACGGAGGUGAGAGCCCUUCGGGGUGCAUCAUCGACCGAUCCUGAUGUCUUCGGAUGGAUUUGAGUAAGAGCAUAACUGUUCGGACCCGAAAGAUGGUGAACUAUGCGUGGAUAGGGUGAAGCCAGAGGAAACUCUGGUGGAGGCUCGCAGCGGUUCUGACGUGCAAAUCGAUCGUCAAAUCUGCGCAUGGGGGCGAAAGACUAAUCGAACC